GUCGCCUCAGUCUAUGUUGCGUAUGAGGCCGAUGAUGACGCAGCUGUUUUUCGCUCCUCCCCUCAAUAUAUUCUUGUGCUAAUGUUUCUUCUCUGAAACACAUUUUUGACGCUAAGAGAAUGUGAUUAACAUGAUGACAGUUGAUUGUGUUAGUUAUGUUAAAACUGUAUCGGUUAAUGUGUUUUUUUAAUUAUUCAAACCGAUAUAUCGUGUCGUGAUCGUGAUGCUAACUGUUUAGCAUUAUAUGUACUAGUGUGUAGCAGUGAGGGAGAAGCUGACGCCCCGUGUCUCAGCUGUUUAUGUCCUUUUCUUACAGUUGAACAUGCCAUCACUGUGUUUACUGCCCUGCCACUGCUCUUCCCAUCUGGCUCUGCAGCGCCCAAGAAACUGGUCCCAAUCAGUGAGGCUUUUUUCCACGUUCUCACGCUGAUGGACAUGAACACACUAGAGGCCACAUCCUCUCUGGCACAAGUGCUUUUGUUGGGCAAUAACAUCGGCCACAUUGCUAGUGA
Tachysurus fulvidraco (yellow catfish) is the source of this 512-nucleotide long non-coding RNA. RefSeq lists it as uncharacterized. Lineage: Eukaryota; Metazoa; Chordata; Actinopteri; Siluriformes; Bagridae. The record is from RefSeq and is a predicted model, not a curated record. The transcript has 3 exons.